This is an RNA transcript of Arabidopsis lyrata subsp. lyrata, 1380 nucleotides long. RefSeq lists it as uncharacterized. The transcript is spliced from 6 exons. Lineage: Eukaryota; Viridiplantae; Streptophyta; Magnoliopsida; Brassicales; Brassicaceae. The record is from RefSeq and is a predicted model, not a curated record.
CAAAAUAAUUCACUUAGCGCCCAUCUCCCUACUCAUUUCCCCCUUUUCACUAUGAGAAAAACCUCUCAAACCUAAAAAUUUCAGACCUGUUUUCAGACCCACAAAUUGAAUCUCUGUCGACGAUUGUUGUUUACUCACCUCAUUUCUUUUCUCCUCUCUUCUCUCAAAUCCCCAAGCUUUCCCUGUAAUUCGAAACCCUAAUUUUGCCUCUCAAUCUCAAAAAAUACCAACUUUUUCUGAAAUUCGAAGACUUGAGCCGUGUAAAGUAAGAAGAUUGAAGAAAAAAUCAAUUUCUUUACAAAGUAGUGAUUCUUGGAUCUCGUCUUUUUUUAUGGACACAAUUAGGGUUUGCACGGAGGUUCCAAAAUCUUUGAAAUCAACUGCCCCGUCGUUCACAGAGUCACCUUUUGCACCGAAACCAUCAAUGGCUCCAACGAAUUCAAGAUCAGUGGCUACUCUUUGGCGACAUCGUGCGGUCAACUACCUCAGAUACACAAUCUCUUCUCAAAGCUCAGACCUUUUCUUUCUCUCUCCUUGCCGUCUUUUACAGCCCCGUUUUGGUGCUCUGCCGACAAUGAAGGUUGGGUUUUUCUAUCAUUUCUCUAAAUUUCAAACUUUAUUUUGUGUGCAUCUCUGUUUUUUAUUUCUACAAAUUGAAUUUUUCUUAUCUUUGUUUCUGGGUUGCUCUUGAUUCAGCUUUUAUUGGUGAAGUGGAUACACAAUUUUAGGAUUUUAUUGUUUUAAAUCUCAUUUGAAGUUUAGGCGAUUGUUGGAUUUGAUUGUUCAUAGCUUAUACAAUCACAAUGAGAGGCUCUUGAGUGUGAUGGAACGUUUUUUGAUUGAAGAUGGUGGAGAGCUUGAGAUUAGGAUUAAGCUUGAUCCUGUUUACGGCAGCAUCACCAUAAUUAAUACUGUUUUUGGAAUGACAAAGACAGAACUUAUAUAUAUUGUUCUCGCCUUCUCGGAGGAUUGAUGAUUGUUUUUGGACGUGACAGGGUAUGGUGGUGGAUACAACUUGUUAUUGUCUUAUGAAUAUGGCAAAAUCGAUCAAAAGCUGUCUCUGGAAAGUCAAAUCAUUCCGUUUAGAUACACCACUUGAACAUAGAAAGUGCAUCAUCUGUCAAGACGAAUAUGAGGCAAAUGAUCAGAUUAAAAAUUUGUCCACGAGAAAUUUUUCAUACACAUGCUUAUUGGGAUUAUGCACGGGAAUGCUAACCGGAAGGCGAAACACAUAGAGGAGACGAGAUUGAAGUUUGUCUUGUUAUGAUGUUCGCUUUAUUUUGUUUAAAAUUUGGUAUGAUGUUAUGUAAAAAAGGAUAAUGUAAUAAUACGAUUAUGUAUGUUGAUGAUUUAUGAAAUAUAAAAUUUAUAUUAUAAAUC